CAACAGCUUUCUUAUCUUGUCAACUCAAUAGGCAGGGACGUCACAACCUCAAAGUGACAAUGAUUGGUAAACCAGGGCUCCUGAGGUGACAGGAGAGGCAUUGGGAAGGACAACUGAAGGGUAGGACAACUGAGCUAUAAGGGAUGAGAUGAUGAGGUGGAAGCUUAUACAACAGUGGUUCUCAGACUCCAGUGUGCCUCAGAAUCAACUGGAGGGCUUAUUAACACAGAUUGCUGGGCCUCAUCCUCAAAGAUACUGAUUCUGUAAGUAGAUCUUCGGUGCGGUCUAAGAGUCUACAUUUUUAACAGGCUCUCAGGUGAUAUGAUGCUGCUGGUCCGGGGACCACAUUUUGAGAACCAACAAUCUACAGAAUUACUUCCUAUGACUGGCAUGAGUAUGAAGUGAUGAUUAAUCUUUGGUAAGUAAGUAAAUUCUCCACACAAAUGAAGGUCACCUCAGAUGUGACACUUUUAUUUUAAUACCUUUUUGAUGAAAACUCUUCUAAAACGUAUCAGUUUUAUUCUUAUAUAUGUGAACAAGGGGCUCUUAAAUACCACUUAACUUUUCUUUGGAUUGAAGUUAUCAAAUAAUUCCUCUUGAUUUCAGAAGGGAUAAGAAAUAUGGCCUUUUGACUUAAGAACUUACUAACCUGAACGACAUUUCCAGACUGUAUUCCUGAAGGGACAGUCAUAGAUCCCAGGAAGAGAUAGUAGUGAAACUUAGGAGUCAGCAUGAGUUCCCUGAGAAUAAGUGUGUAUAGCUGACUUUAUUUCCUCUUUGUUAUGACUACUAGAUUAGUAAAUUGGAGAAACUGUAUAGGCAUAGAUAUUGCACUAGCUAUGCUUACCAGGUGAUACCAAAAUAUGUUGAGUUGAUUAAUGGAUGGGUGUCAUCCUGGGUAGAUAUUUCUUGCACAGUGCCAGAGGGCUCUGUCUUUGGCUUUGUCUAAUUAUUUCUUAAUCAUUUGGAUGAGCCAGAACAUAACCCACUCCCAUUCCCCAGGGUUAUGAAAACACAGACAAGAAGACCACUUGACGGACAAUAAAGAAAGGAUGUGAAGGAGAGCCAGAGUAGACUUUGAGGACCAAACGAUCCAGCACUCUGAUUUUCAGAUAGUUAUGAUUAGUUGAUUACUUGUUAUUUUACUGUAGUGUAAUAGCCAAAAUAAGUAUGUGGCUGCCUUAGAGUUUCUGGUCUUUGCUGCCAGGAUGACAGCAAAUUAACUGUAAUUUUCAAGAACACAUAUCUUGCUGCUCAACUGAGUUUUAUCCUUCCUCAUAUGUCUUCUUUCAACCUGCUCUUAGAUUGCUGUUUCAGCUCUAUGAGGCUCUGUGAAACCGGAUAACUAGACUUGACGAGAAAUAUAAAUGCAACAAGAAUAAGCAGACCAAUGCAGAACAUAAGGGACCGUUUGUUUGGAGUUUGGCUGUAGAGUCUCAGGAGUGUUUUCUCU
This 1453-nucleotide long non-coding RNA is filed under the name Callithrix jacchus (white-tufted-ear marmoset). RNAcentral's name for it is "lncRNA (ENSCJAG00000072145.1)". The record is from RNAcentral. Lineage: Eukaryota; Metazoa; Chordata; Mammalia; Primates; Cebidae.